UAUAAUAUUUAAUAUUUUUAUUUCGUUGUAUUUAAAAAUUUUAUAUUAUAUUAAAUUUAUAUCAUUUGAUAUAUAUUUUAUUGUUUAUUCAACUUUUAAGGCGAAAAUUCACUAUUAAAUCAUGCCUAGUUGUAUUUUUGUUAUCGGUCAUUGAAUGAUAAAAGUAGAAAAGAUAAUAUUACUUUUCAUCGAGUAACAAAUGAUGAAGAAAGUAUAUCUACCUGGUGGGAAUUUGGUGAAAGAGAAUAUAAUCUUCAAUCAAAUAGUAUUAAAAAAAGUAGCCGAGUGUGUUCUACACUCAUAAUUGUGUGCAACUUGGGGCCAUGUAAAGGUCCUGUUAUAGAUUUCAACAGUAGCUUGGCAUAUCAUGUGGUGACCUUUCUGUGUGAGAGUACCGACAGCUGAAAACGGACACCGUGUUUGACAGUACAACGUUCAUCGUUCCAUUCGCACCCAUCGUUUGGCGAAAGUCGGGCAUUGACACUGUCUGUACGAUUACAGUUUUAUGUGGACAAAACGUCAUCAAGCCUAACAAAAAGGUACCUAACAAUAUCGAAAUGCUGUGAUUGGCGUUUGUAGCAGCUACGAGAUGUAACACAGACCGUGUCGGUUUUGAAGAUGGGAAGCUGCCACUGGACUGAUAAUAUUAUCCUUCCCGACGAGAUAGUAAAUUGUGUUAAUACUCAAAGUCUCAAACAUUAACAACUACAAUAUAAGCUAUUCGUGGUUGGAGUAUGGCAGUAGUACACACCUAGUAAUACAUAGUAUUAUACCGAAAUAUAUAAAAUUAUACCAUCAGAUAAAAGAGUCCAAUACUUUGUGUAACAACAUAAUAUACCGAAGGUUAAGUAAUUAAAUGUUAUAUUAAUGAUUAUAGACCAAAAUAAUUGUGCAAAAGUACUAAUUUAUACAUUUUAUAUGCAAUAUUGUACAAAAUAAAACAUUCAUUAAAUUAAUCUACUUCUCUUGAUUUGGAUAUUUAAUUGUUUCUAUAGGAAAUUUUUUUUAAAAAC
Aphis gossypii (cotton aphid) is the source of this 1013-nucleotide long non-coding RNA. RefSeq lists it as uncharacterized. The transcript is spliced from 3 exons. NCBI's taxonomy places the organism in Eukaryota, Metazoa, Arthropoda, Insecta, Hemiptera, Aphididae. The record is from RefSeq and is a predicted model, not a curated record.